Molecule: small RNA, 100 nt
Filed under: Rhizobium esperanzae
Lineage: Bacteria; Pseudomonadati; Pseudomonadota; Alphaproteobacteria; Hyphomicrobiales; Rhizobiaceae
Description: ar15
Rfam family: Alphaproteobacterial ar15
Source: RNAcentral
AGCUGAUGAUGGUUGCUUCUGGCUCUAUGAUCGGCUGUUUCUCCGGAGGUUUGUUAAACUUCCCACCUCAGGGGCCCUGGUCUUCCAGCGGCCCCUCUUU